Molecule: ribosomal RNA, 460 nt
Filed under: uncultured bacterium
Lineage: Bacteria
Description: partial 16S ribosomal RNA
Rfam family: Bacterial small subunit ribosomal RNA
Source: RNAcentral
CCUACGGGAUGCAGCAGUGAGGAAUAUUGGUCAAUGGACGAGAGUCUGAACCAGCCAAGUAGCGUGAAGGAUGACUGCCCUAUUGGUUGUAAACUUCUUUUAUAUGGGAAUAAAAUGUUCCACGUGUGGGAUUUUGUAUGUACCAUAUGAAUAAGGAUCGGCUAACUCCGUGCCAGCAGCCGCGGUAAUACGGAGGAUCCGAGCGUUCUCCGGAUUUAUUGGGUUUAAAGGUAACGGAGGUGGAUUGGUAAGUAAGUUGUGAAAGUUUGCGGUUCAACCGUAAAAUUGCAGUUGAAACUGGCAGUCUUGAGUACAGUAGAGGUGGGCGGAAUUCGUGGUGUAGCGGUGAAAUGCUUAGAUAUCACGAAGAAAUCCGAUUGCGAAGGCAGUUCACUGGACUGCAACUGACACUGAGGCUCGAAAGUGUGGGUAUCAAACAGGAUUAGAGACCCCAGUAGUC